AUAUCUAGGUCAAGUUCGAAACUGGGUCCCGUGCGGUCAAAAACUAGGUCUGGAGGUCAUAUUUUUCAUGGGAUCUGCAUGAUAAUUGGUCAGAAUGUUCAUCUUGAUGAUAUCUAGGUCAAGUUCGAAACUGGGUCACGUCCGGUCCAAAACUAGGUCAGUAGGUCAAAUAAUAGAAAAACCUUGUGACCUCUGUAGAGGCCGUAUUUUUCAUUGGAUCUGCAUGAAAAUUGAUCAGAAUGUUCAUCUUGAUGAUAUCUAGGUCAAGUUGUAAACUGGGUCGCAUGCGGUCAAAAACUAGGUCAGUAGGUCAGAUAAUAGAAAAACCUUGUGAC
Long non-coding RNA from Mercenaria mercenaria, 335 nucleotides. RefSeq lists it as uncharacterized. NCBI's taxonomy places the organism in Eukaryota, Metazoa, Mollusca, Bivalvia, Venerida, Veneridae. The record is from RefSeq and is a predicted model, not a curated record. The transcript has 2 exons.